GUUGGGGUUGAAGUGGUCAUAGAUCAGUUUCUUUUAUCAGUUAAUAAUUCCUAUUAUCUAGGACACGUAGGUAGUGUUGGUAGUUAUCUUUAGAUAGGUACUUAUCAUGUAUACAUGGGUAGUUUUUUUUUCCAGUUUCUUUCUUUGUUGGCUUUUCAAUUCUGCACUGAUGUAAGGCUUAUUUAAGCCAUCUGCUCUAUUAAAUAAUAUGCAAUGGUUUAUAACAAUCCCUAUCCUUAUAAGUUUAUUAUUAUAUAACAUAAAUCCAAGAUUUAAUUAAGGGACUCUUAACAUACGGAACCCAAACACAUGAAAAAAUGAAGAACAUAACUUAUGAUAGUUCUAAUGGGAGAAGCCAAUUUGAGAUAAUUGUAGAUCCAGUGAGUAAGCAGGAAUAGUCUCCCCAUGUGAUGGGGUUUCAUGUCUCACCGCCAUGUGAAUCAUCGGUCCUGUAUAGACCGAUUCAAACCCCGGUUAGGGUCAUGGUUGUGCUGUAGAGUAAACCACAACUUCAUCUUCCACAUCUCCGGCAUAUAUCAUCUUUUCCCAAGAGACUCACAUUCGAUUCACAAAAUAGAAAACAAGGUAAAAAUAAAGAAAAUGGUUACCCGUUUCUAGUGUCGCCUUGCUCUGUUGUGAACAACCCUUGGUUGUGGUCUUCUUUCACCACCGAGAAUUGGGGCUGCCUUGCUCACUGGUCAAAGACCAAUGCAAGUUGUCGCUAGAGAAUAGAAGAAAUGAUAAGACGACCUAGUGGUUUUGUUGUGCGGCAAGGAAGUCAUCGCCGUGUUCCACCGACGAGCAAUGUCCAUCUUCGCCGAAGAUGAGAGGUGAAGAAUUUAAGGAUUUUCAUUCCCUUUUCAAUUUUCUUUCUUCGUUUUUUUAUAUUUUCCACAGGUAUCCUCGCACUAGAGGCAAUCAUGACCGAGCCGGAAACAUCCACAGGUACGUGGGGCUAACUCUCCCAGCGGACAUUUUUUCCAUCCACAACACUCGAACCCGAGACCUUGCUCAAGGAAAAUCAAGCAUGUACCACUUGAACCAAUGUCCGUUGGUAAUUUUCUCUCUUCAUUUAACAUGGUGAACCCC
RNAcentral lists this long non-coding RNA (1089 nucleotides) under Lupinus angustifolius (narrow-leaved blue lupine). RNAcentral's name for it is "long non-coding RNA (LANG_LNC002119)". The record is from RNAcentral. Lineage: Eukaryota; Viridiplantae; Streptophyta; Magnoliopsida; Fabales; Fabaceae.